CUUGGCUACGAGUGACGAUAACAAAAUCGGACCUUCGACCGACUUUGACAGUCUCUAGUUUAGUUUUGCUUUGAACUUCGACUAGUGCACAUCGCAGUUCUCACAGUACGCAUUCUCUACGAUAAAUAACGAUAAAUAACGAAGAGAAUUAAAUUGUGAAGUAGGGAUACUUGGCUACAAGCGAUGAUAACAAAAUCGGACCUUCGACCGACUUUGACAGUUACUAGUUCAGUUUUGCUUUGUAUUACGAGGAGUGUGCAUCGAAGUUCUGGCAGGAUGUCUUUCCUACAAAUAUCAACGAAGACUUCAAAACUUUAUUGCCAUCGCGUGUAGCAAUGAAGUAAUCGAAUACUUGUACGGCUAAAAUAAAAAUAUCGCAAAGUAGAAGCAGUGUUUGUUCGUUCGAGUUUCGCGAUUUAAACCAUAAGUGUUUUUGCAUGAACUGCGUGCAAUGCAGUCGUUAGAGUCAGUGUUUGUUCGCGAAGUUUUUUGAUUUUUUAAUAGUCGCACAGACUGUAUUUAUAAAAGAUAGUAGAGUUUCGCGAAAUAAAUUCAGUGAUCGUUCGUUAAUAAACAACUACCGCGAAUUAAAAUCAGUGCAUCACUGAAGAGGAUCUCAACCAACUUCGAUAUCGACCUACCACAUUUUCAACCAACUACAAAUCAUCCACCCUCAAUUUCGACCUAAAUCGCGGACGAGUGUUUUGGAGCCAUCGUAGAACUUCUUAAGUAGUAAGUAAUUUUUUAAGUCUCUCCAAUCACUCAAUCAUGUCGAGGACGAAAAAUCCGAAUCGGCACGAGUGAUUGGUUGUAAUUAAUAAGUAA
Molecule: long non-coding RNA, 825 nt
Organism: Vespula vulgaris
Lineage: Eukaryota; Metazoa; Arthropoda; Insecta; Hymenoptera; Vespidae
Exons: 3
Source: RefSeq, a predicted model, not a curated record